Molecule: transfer RNA, 72 nt
Filed under: Leptogium hirsutum
Lineage: Eukaryota; Fungi; Ascomycota; Lecanoromycetes; Peltigerales; Collemataceae
Description: tRNA-Ala
Rfam family: tRNA
About the family: Transfer RNA (tRNA) molecules are approximately 80 nucleotides in length. Their secondary structure includes four short double-helical elements and three loops (D, anti-codon, and T loops). Further hydrogen bonds mediate the characteristic L-shaped molecular structure. tRNAs have two regions of fundamental functional importance: the anti-codon, which is responsible for specific mRNA codon recognition, and the 3' end, to which the tRNAs corresponding amino acid is attached (by aminoacyl-tRNA synthetases). tRNAs cope with the degeneracy of the genetic code in two manners: having more than one tRNA (with a specific anti-codon) for a particular amino acid; and 'wobble' base-pairing, i.e. permitting non-standard base-pairing at the 3rd anti-codon position.
Source: RNAcentral
GGGGAUAUAGUUUAAUUGGUAAAACAACGAUUUUGCAUAUUGUUAUUUUAGGAUCGAGCCCUAAUAUCUCCA